RNAcentral lists this small RNA (108 nucleotides) under Marmota monax (woodchuck). The record is from RNAcentral. Lineage: Eukaryota; Metazoa; Chordata; Mammalia; Rodentia; Sciuridae.
GCUGGGUGUGGUGGCACACACCUGUAAUCCUUAGCUACUUGGGAGGCUGAGGCAGGACGAUUGCAAGUUUGAGGUCAACCUGGACAACUUAGUAAGACUCUGUCUCAA